RNAcentral lists this ribosomal RNA (477 nucleotides) under uncultured bacterium. RNAcentral's name for it is "bacterial SSU rRNA". It matches the Rfam family "Bacterial small subunit ribosomal RNA", at positions 19 to 518 of the family's 1533-position model. The record is from RNAcentral.
CUGGCUCAGGAUGAACGCUGGCGGCGUGCCUAAUACAUGCAAGUCGAACGCAAAUCGUCGGGUUGAGUGGCGAACGGGUGAGUAACACGUAGGUAAUCUACCGUAGAGACGGGGAUAACGAUUGGAAACGAUCGCUAAUACCGGAUAGUAUAUGGAUUCGCAUGAGUCCAUAUUUAAAGAUACAAAUGUAUCACUCUAUGAUGAGCCUGCGUCGCAUUAGCUAGUUGGUGAGAUAAUAGCCCACCAAGGCGAUGAUGCGUAGCCGGACUGAGAGGUUGAACGGCCACAUUGGGACUGAGACACGGCCCAGACUCCUACGGGAGGCAGCAGUGGGGAAUAUUGCACAAUGGGGGAAACCCUGAUGCAAGCGACGCCGCGUGAGUGAAGAAGUAUUUCGGUAUGUAAAGCUCUAUCAGCAGGGAAGAAAAUGACGGUACCUGACUAAGAAGCCCCGGCUAACUACGUGCCAGCAGCCGC